Molecule: unclassified non-coding RNA, 326 nt
Filed under: Hevea brasiliensis (rubber tree)
Lineage: Eukaryota; Viridiplantae; Streptophyta; Magnoliopsida; Malpighiales; Euphorbiaceae
Source: RNAcentral
GGAGUUGUAGAAUUUCACAAAGUUUUGCUAUCUCCGGCUUCAAAAGAAGGUGGAGGUUCUUUUGCAAACUCUUCUGCGAAUCAUUCGAAAUAAUUCUUUCAUCAAGCUUAGCCAGGUUAACUGCUGAUACUUCUGACAAANUUAGCCAAACUUGGGGCGGUGGAAGAAUGGUUUGCAUGACUCUUAUUAAGACGAACAGUUGAGCCAGACAUCAAUUGACGCAUAUUUUGUGAUGGAGCUCCCAAAAUCCCUUCAAAUACAGAAGGUUUGAGAGAGGAUGGAUCAACAUCAAUGUUGGCCACUUUUUUGCGCUUCUUCACAACUUC